CAACCAAAAAUUUACUGAUUUAAACGAAAUCUUCAUUACAGCCUCACAUAUAGUUACAAAAUUCAUGAUUCUGGGGAGAGGUGUUUUGGUAACAGGGUGGGACCAAAUUGGUUGUUGUUCACUUGAGCCAAAGGCUCAAGUGAAAUUUUCUGAUCACAUUUUAUCAAUCAUACGUCUGUCUGACUAUCCGUAAACUUUUUUGUCUUCUCCAAAAGCACUGAGUCAGUUUCAAAAAAGCUUGGCACAAAGCCUCUUUGCCUGGAUUUAAGAUCAAACCAAGAAACAUGUCCACUUGAAGGUGAAAUAAUCAAGAAAAGGCAAAACUGGGGUGGGGUAGUUUAAAAAUCUUAUUCUUAAGAAAAUUUAGGGCAAACAAGUUGAAAUAUGCAUGAACAUUUCCUGACAUAGAGUAGAUUCAAGUUUGUUCACAUUGUUAGUAGGAUGAUUCCUCAAUAUGGGGUCAAAGGUUAAUGAUUUCUGAUUUCUGGUCAUUCCAGCACUUAUUGACACUUUGUUUUUUCAGCUUCCUGGGUCUCAAGAGAUGAUGACAGCCUGACCACAGGAACACUUCCUUCCUCCUACAAGCAGAAAGAGGCUGUCUUACCAUCUGAUUCAUUUCUGGAAAUAGUCUUCCAGAUAGAGCGGGGUAUUGGUCACUGGAAGAGUCCGGCUGAUUGACGAGGAAUUGUCCUGAGACUGUGACAUAUUGUAGAGUAGCGGUCACCAGAGAUGUAAGGCUGAUUGAUGAGGGUACUUUUCCUGAGACUCUGUAAAAAUAUCAGAAUUUGGCGUGAAGUGAUUGGUUGUACAGAAAUUUCAAGUUCUCCCAGAUCCAGGGAAACAUGAGGACUGUGGAGUGUCGUGAUAUUAUUGAUGGUCAACAGAAGACUGUGACCUUGAAUCUGAAGAUCUGUGAUGAAGACCGGACGUUUGGGGUCACUCUCUGUUACAGUACUACAAAUCUAACAGUGAUACACUCAGCCACAAAGAGGUUGUCUCUGAUGUCCACACAUAAACCUAAUGGAGACUCUAAAUCACAGUGAAUGUAACGGAGGAACUGUCCGUCCUGAUCUAGGAUGUGGAUACGGUCAUUGUGACGGUCUGC
Long non-coding RNA from Ostrea edulis (European flat oyster), 1105 nucleotides. RefSeq lists it as uncharacterized. The record is from RefSeq and is a predicted model, not a curated record. Lineage: Eukaryota; Metazoa; Mollusca; Bivalvia; Ostreida; Ostreidae. The transcript has 5 exons.